Telopea speciosissima is the source of this 396-nucleotide long non-coding RNA. RefSeq lists it as uncharacterized. The record is from RefSeq and is a predicted model, not a curated record. NCBI's taxonomy places the organism in Eukaryota, Viridiplantae, Streptophyta, Magnoliopsida, Proteales, Proteaceae. The transcript is spliced from 4 exons.
UUCUAGACCUACAGAUACAAAUUCGUCGUCUCCCUAAACCAGUAAUUGCCAUGGUAAAUUCUUACUCAGUUUUAUCUCUAUAUGUCUGAUAUUCCUGUCAUUUGGGGUGUGAAUUAACCUUCUUUGUCUCAUCUCCAGGUUGCAGGCUAUGCUUGGAGGAGGACAUGUAUUGCACAUGGUAUGCGAUCUAACAAUUGCAGCUGAUAAUGUUAUUUUUGGUCAGACAGGCCCAAAGGUUGGGAGCUUUGAUGCAGGUUACGGAAUUUCCAUUAUGUCUCGCUUGAUCGGUCCUAAAAAAGCACGUGAAAUGUGAUUUUUGGCAAGAUUUUACGGUGUCUCUGAAGCAGAGAAAAUGGGCUUAGUUAACACUAUGGUGCUAGUUAGUUCUUGAUCAAG